AGUCUUAAAUAAAAGAAAAGAAAAAAAGAGGUGUAUCCGAGGCGUGGUUAUUGCUAGUUGAAAACUAUUCCCAAUACCCCGUGCAGACGCCCUUAACUGGGCGGCUAGCACAAUUUUUAAUUGCCUCUACGGGGG
Gigantopelta aegis is the source of this 135-nucleotide small nuclear RNA. RefSeq annotates it as U4 spliceosomal RNA. The transcript has a single exon. The record is from RefSeq and is a predicted model, not a curated record. NCBI's taxonomy places the organism in Eukaryota, Metazoa, Mollusca, Gastropoda, Neomphalida, Peltospiridae.